AGUGAAAUCCAGGUAUCGCCUGACCUACAGCAAUUAUGAAUAACUCAACGUCAGUGACGUAGUUAAACCUAAAUGGCCUGAAUCGACAAGAAGCCUCAGAGAAUGUCGCUGAUUGACAAUUGAGUUUGCUCAUACCUGAUACAUGAUCAUAGGCCAGCCACCGUUAAAAUAUCUCCAAAAAUAUUUUGUUCACUUCUAUUUACAGAGGGAUAUGUCAGGGGGGUUUACCUUGGAAAGUGCGUAAAAGUCUAACAAUCCUAUGAACGCAUAGGAGUUGAUCCCAGACAUCGUCGUCUAGAUUUCAAUGUUUUCAAUGUCUUCGGACGACGGUUCGAGUUUUAGUGAUAUGAGUACGGAUGCUUCCUCACAAAUUUCGGAGGAACAAUCCGGCAGCAGACCCUUCAGGAAACGAAUUUAUGGAAUAACCGUCAAACAUGUUAGUGGCGCUAUUGCUGUUAGGUCCCACGCAAAAGCGCGGA
This is a long non-coding RNA of Stylophora pistillata, 479 nucleotides long. Lineage: Eukaryota; Metazoa; Cnidaria; Anthozoa; Scleractinia; Pocilloporidae. The record is from RefSeq and is a predicted model, not a curated record.